UACGUAUGUCCCGAGCGUUAUUCGGAUUUAUUGGGCGUAAAGCGAGCGCAGGUGGUUUCUUAAGUCUGAUGUAAAAGGCAGUGGCUCAACCAUUGUGUGCAUUGGAAACUGGGAGACUUGAGUGCAGGAGAGGAGAGUGGAAUUCCAUGUGUAGCGGUGAAAUGCGUAGAUAUAUGGAGGAACACCGGAGGCGAAAGCGGCUCUCUGGCCUGUAACUGACACUGAGGCUCGAAAGCGUGGGGAGCAAACAGG
This 252-nucleotide ribosomal RNA is filed under the name uncultured bacterium. RNAcentral describes it as "partial 16S ribosomal RNA". It matches the Rfam family "Bacterial small subunit ribosomal RNA", at positions 524 to 776 of the family's 1533-position model. The record is from RNAcentral.